GUAGGGAAUAUUGGACAAUGGGGGGAACCCUGAUCCAGCCAUGCCGCGUGGAGGAAGACUGCCCUCUGGGUUGUAAACUCCUUUUAUAUGGGAAGAACCGUCCUCAUUAAUGAGCGACCUGACGGUACCAUAGGAAUAAGCACCGGCUAACUCCGUGCCAGCAGCCGCGGUAAUACGGAGGGUGCAAGCGUUAUCCGGAUUCACUGGGUUUAAAGGGUGCGUAGGCGGAUAAAUAAGUCAGUGGUGAAAUCAACGGGCUCAACCUGGUAACUGCCAUUGAUACUGUGUAUCUUGAAUAUGAGAGAGGUAGGCGGAAGGUUGCAUGUAGCGGUGAAAUGCUUAGAUAUGCUACGGAACACCGAUUGCGAAGGCAGCUUACUAUUUCGUAAUUGACGCUGAGGCACGAAAGCGUGGGCAGCGAACAGGAUUAGAAACCCCGGUAGUCC
RNAcentral lists this ribosomal RNA (446 nucleotides) under uncultured bacterium. RNAcentral describes it as "partial 16S ribosomal RNA". It matches the Rfam family "Bacterial small subunit ribosomal RNA", at positions 354 to 796 of the family's 1533-position model. The record is from RNAcentral.